This 253-nucleotide ribosomal RNA is filed under the name uncultured bacterium. Its description in RNAcentral is "partial 16S ribosomal RNA". It matches the Rfam family "Bacterial small subunit ribosomal RNA", at positions 524 to 776 of the family's 1533-position model. The record is from RNAcentral.
UACGUAGGUGGCAAGCGUUGUCCGGAUUUACUGGGCGUAAAGAGCGCGCAGGCGGUCGAUCAAGUCGAGUGUGAAAGCCCCCGGCUCAACUGGGGAGGGUCAUUCGAUACUGAUCGACUCGAAGGCAGGAGAGGGUAGUGGAAUUCCCGGUGUAGUGGUGUAAUGCGUAGAUAUCGGGAGGAACACCAGUGGCGAAGGCGACUACCUGGCCUGUUCUUGACGCUGAGGCGCGAAAGCUAGGGGAGCAAACGGG